Molecule: small RNA, 118 nt
Filed under: Klebsiella pneumoniae
Lineage: Bacteria; Pseudomonadati; Pseudomonadota; Gammaproteobacteria; Enterobacterales; Enterobacteriaceae
Also listed under: 1 other name
Description: RtT sRNA
Rfam family: RtT RNA
About the family: This family represents a bacterial cis-regulatory element known as RtT RNA. The exact function of RtT is unknown although it is thought that it may be involved in changing the cellular response in relation to amino acid starvation.
Source: RNAcentral
GGGGAAGGAUGAGAAGCUUCGACCAAGGUUCGACUCGAGCGAAGCGAGAGAACGUUGCCGCAGGCAAUGGCCCGAAGGCGAGGCGCUUUAGCGCCGAGUAAUCCUUACCCCACCACUG